GAUGAACGCUGGCGGCGUGCCUAAUACAUGCAAGUCGAGCGAACAGACGAGGAGCUUGCUCCUCUGACGUUAGCGGCGGACGGGUGAGUAACACGUGGAUAACCUACCUAUAAGACUGGGAUAACUUCGGGAAACCGGAGCUAAUCCCGGAUAAUAUAUUGAACCGCAUGGUUCAUUAGUGAAAGACGGUUUUGCUGUCACUUAUAGAUGGAUCCGCGCCGCAUUAGCUAGUUGGUAAGGUAACGGCUUACCAAGGCAACGAUGCGUAGCCGACCUGAGAGGGUGAUCGGCCACACUGGAACUGAGACACGGUCCAGACUCCUACGGGAGGCAGCAGUAGGGAAUCUUCCGCAAUGGGCGAAAGCCUGACGGAGCAACGCCGCGUGAGUGAUGAAGGUCUUCGGAUCGUAAAACUCUGUUAUUAGGGAAGAACAAAUGUGUAAGUAACUAUGCACGUCUUGACGGUACCUAAUCAGAAAGCCACGGCUAACUACGUG
RNAcentral lists this ribosomal RNA (497 nucleotides) under uncultured bacterium. RNAcentral's name for it is "partial 16S ribosomal RNA". It matches the Rfam family "Bacterial small subunit ribosomal RNA", at positions 28 to 507 of the family's 1533-position model. The record is from RNAcentral.